Molecule: ribosomal RNA, 122 nt
Organism: Bos indicus x Bos taurus (hybrid cattle)
Lineage: Eukaryota; Metazoa; Chordata; Mammalia; Artiodactyla; Bovidae
Source: Ensembl
GGUGGUUACCAUACCACCCUGAACAUGCCUGAUCUCAUCUGAUUUUGGAAGCUAAGCAGGGUUGGGCCUGGUUAGUACUUGAAUGGGAGAUCACAGAUAUUUUGACAUUGGUAUUAUCACAU